Molecule: ribosomal RNA, 491 nt
Filed under: uncultured bacterium
Lineage: Bacteria
Description: partial 16S ribosomal RNA
Rfam family: Bacterial small subunit ribosomal RNA
Source: RNAcentral
GUGAACGCUGGCGGUAGGCCUAACACAUGCAAGUCGAAUGGCAGCACAGUAAGAGCUUGCUCUUACGGGUGGCGAGUGGCGGACGGGUGAGGAAUACAUCGGAAUCUACUUUUUCGUGGGGGAUAACGUAGGGAAACUUACGCUAAUACCGCAUACGACCUACGGGUGAAAGCAGGGGAUCUUCGGACCUUGCGCGAUUGAAUGAGCCGAUGUCGGAUUAGCUAGUUGGCGGGGUAAAGGCCCACCAAGGCGACGAUCCGUAGCUGGUCUGAGAGGAUGAUCAGCCACACUGGAACUGAGACACGGUCCAGACUCCUACGGGAGGCAGCAGUGGGGAAUAUUGGACAAUGGGCGCAAGCCUGAUCCAGCCAUACCGCGUGGGUGAAGAAGGCCUUCGGGUUGUAAAGCCCUUUUGUUGGGAAAGAAAAGCAGCAGGUUAAUACCCCGCUGUUCUGACGGUACCCAAAGAAUAAGCACCGGCUAACUUCGUG